RNAcentral lists this long non-coding RNA (4274 nucleotides) under Homo sapiens (human). RNAcentral describes it as "HSALNT0303592". Lineage: Eukaryota; Metazoa; Chordata; Mammalia; Primates; Hominidae. The record is from RNAcentral.
UGAGCCCCAGCAGUUCAAGACCAGCCUAGACAACAUAGUGAGACCCUGUCUCUUAAAAAAUUUUAAAAAGUUAGCCAGGCAUGGUGGCGUGUGUCUGUAGUCCCGGGUACUCAAGAAGGCUGAAGUGGGAGGAUCGCUUAAGCCCAGGAGUUUGAAGCUGCAGUGAGCUAUGAUCAUGCCACUGUACUCCAGCCUGGGCAACAGAGUAAGACCCUGACUCUAAAAAAAAAAAAAAAAAAAAAAGUUAAAAACUAAAAAAAAAAAAAAGGUGCUAACAUGUAUAUUUAAUACUACUCGGAAUUUUUUUUCUUUUUUUUUUUGAGAUGGAGUCUCACUCUGUCACCCAGGCUGGGGUGCAAUGGUGCAAUCUCAGCUCACUGCAUCCUCUGCCUCCUGGGUUCAAGUGAUUCUCCUCCCUCAGCCUCCUGAGUAGCUGGGAUUACAGGUGCCUGCCACCUGCAGAGACAGGGUUUCACCAUGUUGGCCAGGCUGUUCUCGAACUCCUGACCUCAGGUGAUCUGCCUGCCUCGGCCUCCCAAAGUGCUGGGAUUACAGGCGUGAGCCACUGCACCUGGCCUCACUUGGAUUAUUUUUUAAUUGUGGCGCUGUUUCUCCCUACAACAUGACUCUUACAGAUAGCUUCAAAAGCCUGGCUGGAUGGAUAACACCAUGGUACAAUACACGUUUUCAGACAGCCACACAGUAGACUUUUAGGCAUCAUACACUUGAGUUUUCCUUGGCUAGUUUUGACUAUAAUCAAGUUUUUCAUGCUGAGAUGAAGCUUUACAUGGAAAGCUGCUAACUGCCAAUUUACAACUGUGUCAUUUGAAAUUCCAUAAACAUUUCUUCUUUUGGCAGCAUUUAUAAAUAACAAAAAAGUUGUAUUCUAGCUUCUAACCAUCCUUUGUGAAUAAGAAGUGUGGCAUUGUGGAGGUACAGAAGACUUCAGCUCUCAUAUAUAGUACCUGCCAUAAAUUAAAGUAUGCUAAAAUUUUUUUUUUUUUUAACUUUAUAGAGAUGAGGUCUCACUGUGUUGCCCAGGCUGGUCUCAAACCCCUAGCCUCAAGCAAUCCUCUUGCCUCAGCCCCCUAAAGUGUUGGGAUUACAGGCAUGAGCCACCAUGCCCAGCUGAAUGUUAUACUUUGUAGCUCAGUAAAUUGAACUAUGCUAGUUUGUUAAAUUUUACCAUUAUUCACUUAGAGAAAAUCACAAACAAAAUUUAAAAUCUCAAUUUUCUUUGAGGCAAGGGUCUUGCUAUAUUGUCCAGGCUGGUCUUGAACUUGUGGCUCAGGUGAUCCAACCACCUCAGCCUCUGAGUAGCUGGGAUUCUCACCCUUUUUGAGUACAGAAGUAAAUAAGUACUUGCACUAAAAUUUUGUAUUUUUUCUUAAACAUGGUUAAGAUUAUUGUUUUCAUCAUAAUUAACCUAUCAUGUCUAUUUGAUCCCAUAGAGCCAAUUGAAAUCUGGAGAAAUUUGGUCAGUUAACCUGUUGGUUUUUAUAUAUGGCACCAACUGAUCUCUACCAGAUUGACACAGUAGAUCAGCUGUUUUAAUGCUGAAAAGAGAAGCUUAUAUAAAUACAGUGCACAUCUAUUAAUGCUUCUCACGUCUGUAGUUCUGUUUCAGGCAGAGGUUUUUUGGCAUAGGACCUGUAUUCAGCUCACACUUUCCUAGGCUGGCUAUGAGUAGAAUGCCUCGUGGCAGUAGCUACACUCAUACAUAGGCAUUGAUCUUAGAUCUGUGUAGAGUUUUAAAUCAUUGGCAUCUUUUAGGCCUAAAUUUUAUAUUUGCUGGAUUUUUUUUUUUUUUUUUUUUGAGAUGGAGUCUUGCUCUGUCACCCAGGCUGGAGUGCAGUGGUGCAUCUCUGCUCACUGCAAGCUCCGCCUCCCGGGUUCACACCAUUCUCCUGCCUCAGUGUCCCACGUAGCUGGGACUACAGGCACCCGCCACCACUCCCGGCUAAUUUUUUGUAUUUUUUCAGUAGAGACGGGGUUUCAUCGUGUUAGCCAGCAUGGUCUCAAUCUCCUGACCUCAUGAUCCACCUGCCUCGGCCUCCCAAAGUGCUGGGAUUACAGGCGUGAGCCACCACACCCAGCCUGGAAUUUUUUUAAAGCAGUAAAUGUAAACGCUAACUUUAGAAAAUAUUAAUAAUAUGAUUAAUUUUAGCCAGAAUAAAAUAAUUUGCCAUCUUUAUAGAAAUCUGGCCACGUAGGAAUUAGCAUUCUUAAAAUUGGCACUGAAGCCAGAAGAUGGAUAGUGAAAUUGGUCACAUGCAUAGACAGCUACCAAGUCCAGUGUUUAAUGGUGCCCAGUGAAGAGGAUUGAAGCACACACCAGAGAAGCAGCUGUAACUGGGUCAGAAGAAAAGUGUCAGGCUGAGACUUAGUUUUAGGUAGAAAAAUGAGCUGCUUGCCUCUACAUUCAUUAUUGGCUCAUCUCAUAAACUCAAAUGAGGGGAUCAGAAGCUGGCAGAAGGGACGGACUCAUGCUUGUUGAUCCGGAUGACCUCUGUUUCAAGGUUCCAGCAAUGAGUUAGCUUACAUUUUACAAGGUCUCCCAAAGUGAAAUGUAGUAGUCUUUACUUAGUGACAGACUAAUUUACAACUAUGUAAUUCUUUUAAGUUUGUAAUUAAAAUUUCUUCUGAAUUAUUAAUGGCUUUAUUGACAUGAUGUUAAUAAAGCCUCUCAUCUUGCUGUUAAGUAUUGUAGUGAGAAAAUCAGCUGACCUGGAAACCAUGGGGAUUGGUUCUAAUGAGCCAUAAAUGCUUCCCCUCUUCCUUCAGCACUAGUAGACUACCAGCUUUAGGCAUUUAACCAAACGAAUUGGAGACAGAAAAUAUUAAAAUCCAGCCAUCCUAUAUCAGAUGAUGAACUCAUUUCCAGACUAACUACCCAAGAAAGCAAGUUAAACACUGUAAAAGCCUAAAACGGGGCAAGUUGGGAUUAGCUUUUAAAAUGCCUGCCUUGAAAAACACAUUAUUCUGUGAGGUUUUUUUUUUUUCUUUAAAGUUGUGCAAAUUUGAUUCGGAAAAAUAGCUUAAUAGGUUUGUAUAGGGCACGGGAGAAGGGGUUGUGUGCAUAAAUGUAUGAUGAUUAUUUUAAGUGUGUGCUUCAGCAGCGACAACAAACAGAUGAAGAUACGUGAUACUGACUAAACAGGCAAGAGUAUUUUCUAGUCUCAGUUCUUCUAGUCAAUGCCUAAAGUAUUAGAAAAAGUACUGAAACAAUUCCCAAAGCAUCAGGAAUUUCCAUUUCUAGUCAAAAUAUUGUUUGUUUUCUUCCAACAGUUCUGUUAAAUAAAAGGAAAAGUUAUAAAGUUUUAGAGAUAUAUUUAAUGUCACAGGUUAAUAAUGUGUGUAUAGAAGCCUUCUCUAACCUUGUUUGUAAAUCUACCAAACCUCACCUCAAACAGUGUUCUCCUUAAACCCAUCCUUUUUGUGCAAAGCUACUGCUUCCUGAUGUCCAUAACUCAAGGCAUUUUUUUUUUCGCUUGGUGUAGUUUCUGAAAUGUGAUUAUUUAAUGUUUGCCAAGAUGUUUGGAAUAGAGUAACUUUCAACUAAUCAAUUGAUUGUGACUUUCUUCUUUUGUAGUUUUUGUUUUUAAAAUUGCUUUCUGUCAAACCCAUCUAUAAUUCCCCCAGAAUAUAUUUAUAUGGACUAAGGCUUACCAAAAAUAAGGAAAAUCGGAGAAACUGCCACCGCCAGGAGGAGCCAAGGGGACAUGAUGACUAAAUGUAAUCUGGUUUCAUGGAGGGGCUACCUAGAAAAAAGACAUUAAGGGAAGACUAAGGAAACUUGAAUAAAGUAUGGGCUCUCCUUAAUAAUAGUGUAACAAAUUCAUUGUAACAAAUGCCCCAUACUAACGUAAGAUGUGAAUAAUCAGGGAAACUGGAUGUGGGACAUAUGGGAACUCCACUAUCUUCAAAAUUUUUCUGUAAAUGUAGAACUGUUCUAAAACAAUAAAGACUAUAAAAAAAUAAUAAAGACUAUUAGAAAAAAAAAAAGGCUGGGCUUAUGCUUGUAAUCCCAAGACUUUGGGAGGCCAAGGCAGGAAGAUCACUUGAGGGCAGAAAUUUGACCAGCCUGGGCAACAUAGUAAGACCUCAACUCUACAACAACAACAACAACAACAAUAAAAUAGCCAGGCAUGGUGGUGCACACCUAUACUCCCAGCUACUUGGGAGGCUGAGGUGGGAGGAUCAGCUGAGCCCCAGAAGUCAAGGCUGCAGUGAGUUGUGAAUGCACAACUGCACUUCAGACUGGUUGACAGAGA